GGCCGACUGGGUCUUCGUGCACAUGCGUAUCCUGGAGUUGCGCGUCCGCUGUAGGCCGCUUGCGGCUGCGAGGGUCCGCAGGGCUGUCGCGGGUUUAUUUAAUCGGCACGGACUCUUCUGUCAGGUGUCAGACUCCUGUUCCUCCUGCGGCUGUCCGGCGCGUGCCUGUUCCGUCUGGGCACGAGUCCGUGAGAGAGAAGUCACGCCCUCUUCCCCAGAGGGUGUGGAGCGCGAGGUUCGCGCGCAGGGAGGGAGGAGAAAAAUGGUGGCAUCAUUGAAACUGAAAGACUCUGCCUUCACCAUUCAGAAGUUGGGCUGUCAGUCAACAGCUGACCUCAGGGAAUCAAGAAAACUGACUUUGCAGAGGAAGACCCUUUGGAUCUGGGUCCCAGAGCACUCAGCUGAAGAUCUGCAGAGUCUGUGAAAUAGACAGGUGGCUUGGCCCAUAAUUUGAGAAGCAAGUCAUGCUGAUGGGUAAAUACCACACUUUAUGGUGUCCGUCAUUUAAGGGAUAACCCAACUUGUGGAAUUCCUAAACAGGAUGAGACCAAUGGAAAAUGGAAUUGGCCACAUAUCCUGGUAAGCACACUAGCUGAACUUUUUGGUGUAUGGAUGGCUCUCUUGUCUGUGUCUCUAUUGGCUUACUCUAGCACAAGUAGAGAAGAACUGGAGUUA
RNAcentral lists this long non-coding RNA (675 nucleotides) under Canis lupus familiaris (dog). Its description in RNAcentral is "lncRNA (ENSCAFG00845012679.1)". Lineage: Eukaryota; Metazoa; Chordata; Mammalia; Carnivora; Canidae. The record is from RNAcentral.